RNAcentral lists this ribosomal RNA (494 nucleotides) under uncultured bacterium. RNAcentral describes it as "partial 16S ribosomal RNA". It matches the Rfam family "Bacterial small subunit ribosomal RNA", at positions 28 to 507 of the family's 1533-position model. The record is from RNAcentral.
GACGAACGCUGGCGGCGCGCUUAACACAUGCAAGUCGAACGGAAAGGCCUGCUUUCCCUUGUGGAUUGCGGGUACUCGAGUGGCGAACGGGUGAGUAACACGUGAGUGAUCUGCCCCCAACUUGGGUAUAAGCCUGGGAAACUGGGUCUAAUUCCCGAUAGGACUGCAGGGUGGUGCCUGUGGUGGAAAACGAUUUUCUAGUGGUUGUGGAUGAGCUCGCGGCCUAUCAGCUUGUUGGUGGGGUAAUGGCCUACCAAGGCGGCGACGGGUAGCCGGCCUGGGAGGGUGGACGGCCACAUUGGGACUGAGAUACGGCCCAGACUCCUACGGGAGGCAGCAGUGGGGAAUAUUGCACAAUGGGCGGAAGCCUGAUGCAGCGACGCCGCGUGGGGGAUGACGGCCUUCGGGUUGUAAACUCCUUUCGACCGCGAGGAAGCCACCUGGUUGGAAGGGUGGUGACGGUAGUGGUAGAAGAAGCACCGGCUAACUACGUG